Molecule: ribosomal RNA, 1200 nt
Filed under: metagenome
Description: bacterial SSU rRNA
Rfam family: Bacterial small subunit ribosomal RNA
Source: RNAcentral
AGAGGUUGAACGGCCACAUUGGGACUGAGACACGGCCCAGACUCCUACGGGAGGCAGCAGUGGGGAAUAUUGCACAAUGGGGGAAACCCUGAUGCAGCGACGCCGCGUGGAGGAAGAAGGUCUUCGGAUUGUAAACUCCUGUUGUUGAGGAAGAUAAUGACGGUACUCAACAAGGAAGUGACGGCUAACUACGUGCCAGCAGCCGCGGUAAAACGUAGGUCACAAGCGUUGUCCGGAAUUACUGGGUGUAAAGGGAGCGCAGGCGGGAAGACAAGUUGGAAGUGAAAUCUAUGGGCUCAACCCAUAAACUGCUUUCAAAACUGUUUUUCUUGAGUAGUGCAGAGGUAGGCGGAAUUCCCGGUGUAGCGGUGGAAUGCGUAGAUAUCGGGAGGAACACCAGUGGCGAAGGCGGCCUACUGGGCACCAACUGACGCUGAGGCUCGAAAGUGUGGGUAGCAAACAGGAUUAGAUACCCUGGUAGUCCACACCGUAAACGAUGAUUACUAGGUGUUGGAGGAUUGACCCCUUCAGUGCCGCAGUUAACACAAUAAGUAAUCCACCUGGGGAGUACGACCGCAAGGUUGAAACUCAAAGGAAUUGACGGGGGCCCGCACAAGCAGUGGAGUAUGUGGUUUAAUUCGACGCAACGCGAAGAACCUUACCAAGUCUUGACAUCCUGCGACGAUGCUGGAAACAGUAUUUCCCUUCGGGACGCAGAGACAGGUGGUGCAUGGUUGUCGUCAGCUCGUGUCGUGAGAUGUUGGGUUAAGUCCCGCAACGAGCGCAACCCUUACUGUCAGUUACUACGCAAGAGGACUCUGGCAGGACUGCCGUUGACAAAACGGAGGAAGGUGGGGAUGACGUCAAAUCAUCAUGCCCUUUAUGACUUGGGCUACACACGUACUACAAUGGCGUUAAACAAAGAGAAGCAAGACCGCGAGGUGGAGCAAAACUCAGAAACAACGUCCCAGUUCGGACUGCAGGCUGCAACUCGCCUGCACGAAGUCGGAAUUGCUAGUAAUCAUGGAUCAGCAUGCCACGGUGAAUACGUUCCCGGGCCUUGUACACACCGCCCGUCACACCAUGAGAGCCGGGGGGACCCGAAGUCGGUAGUCUAACCGCAAGGAGGACGCCGCCGAAGGUAAAACUGGUGAUUGGGGUGAAGUCGUAACAAGGUAGCCGUAGGAGAACCUGCGGCUG